UUCCAGACUCCUACGGGAGGCAGCAGUGAGGAAUAUUGGUCAAUGGUCGGGAGACUGAACCAGCCAAGCCGCGUGAGGGAGGAAGGUACAGAGUAUCGUAAACCUCUUUUGUCAGGGAACAAAGACUGGGACGCGUCCCCGGAUGAGUGUACCUGAAGAAAAAGCAUCGGCUAACUCCGUGCCAGCAGCCGCGGUAAUACGGAGGAUGCGAGCGUUAUCCGGAUUUAUUGGGUUUAAAGGGUGCGCAGGCGGAAUGUCAAGUCAGCGGUAAAAUUUCGGGGCUCAACCCCGUCGUGCCGUUGAAACUGGCGUUCUUGAGUGAGCGAGAAGUAUGCGGAAUGCGUGGUGUAGCGGUGAAAUGCAUAGAUAUCACGCAGAACUCCGAUUGCGAAGGCAGCAUACCGGCGCUCAACUGACGCUCAUGCACGAAAGCGUGGGUAUCGAACAGGAUUAGAUACCCGAGUA
This 465-nucleotide ribosomal RNA is filed under the name uncultured bacterium. RNAcentral's name for it is "bacterial SSU rRNA". It matches the Rfam family "Bacterial small subunit ribosomal RNA", at positions 329 to 792 of the family's 1533-position model. The record is from RNAcentral.